This 915-nucleotide ribosomal RNA is filed under the name uncultured archaeon. RNAcentral's name for it is "bacterial SSU rRNA". It matches the Rfam family "Archaeal small subunit ribosomal RNA", at positions 1 to 922 of the family's 1478-position model. The record is from RNAcentral.
UUCCGGUUGAUCCUGCCGGAGGUCACUGCUAUUGGGAUUCGACUAAGCCAUGCGAGUCGAGAGGGUUCGGCCCUCGGCAGACUGCUCAGUAACACGUGGAUAAUCUGCCCUUAGGUGGAGGAUAACCUUGGGAAACUGAGAAUAAUACUCCAUAGAUCUAAGAUGCUGGAAUGCACUUAGAUUAAAAGCUCCGGCGCCUAAGGAUGAGUCUGCGGACUAUCAGGUUGUAGUCAGGGUAAGGACCUGACUAGCCUACAACGGAUACGGGUUGUGAGAGCAAUAACCCGGAGACGAUAUCUGAGACACGAUAUCGGGCCCUACGGGGCGCAGCAGGCGCGAAACCUUCACAAUGUGCGAAAGCGCGAUGAGGGAAUCCCAAGUGCUUGCACUUAAGUGUAAGCUGUUUCUUUGUUUAAAACGCAUAGAGAGUAAGAGCUGGGUAAGACGGGUGCCAGCCGCCGCGGUAAUACCUGCAGCUCGAGUGGUGGCCGCUAUUAUUGGGCCUAAAACGUCCGUAGCCGGUUUAAUAAAUGCCUGGGUAAAUCGUGUAGCUUAACUAUACGAAUUCCGGGUAGACUGUUAAACUUGAGAUCGGGAGAAGUCAGAGGUACUCCUGGGGUAGAGGUGAAAUUCUGUAAUCCUAGGGGGACCACCGGUGGCGAAGGCGUCUGACUAGAACGAGUCUGACGGUGAGGGACGAAGCCCUGGGGCGCAAACCGGAUUAGAUACCCGGGUAGUCCAGGGUGUAAACGCUGCUUGCUUGAUGUUAGUUGGGCUCCGAGCCCAAUUAGUGUCGGAGAGAAGUUGUUAAGCAAGCUGCCUGGGAAGUACGGUCGCAAGGCUGAAACUUAAAGGAAUUGGCGGGGGAGCACAGCAACGGGUGGAGCGUGCGGUUUAAUUGGAUUCAACGCCGGA